This 255-nucleotide ribosomal RNA is filed under the name Aglyptodactylus inguinalis. RNAcentral's name for it is "partial 16S ribosomal RNA". The record is from RNAcentral. Lineage: Eukaryota; Metazoa; Chordata; Amphibia; Anura; Mantellidae.
CCAUGGAGCUUUAAACCCAGCAAUUACACCUGUUUAAGUAUACCCCUAUAAAUAACAGAACCCUACUUGUCUGGUUUUAGGUUGGGGUGACCGCGGAGCACAAAUCAACCUCCAUGAUGAAUGGGCUAACCCCCUUACCCAAGAGCCACACCUCUAAGAAUUAGUAAUCUAACAUAAACUGAUCCGAUCAUCGAUCAACGAACCAAGUUACCCUGGGGAUAACAGCGCAAUCCACUUUAAGAGCCCCUAUCGACA